RNAcentral lists this ribosomal RNA (253 nucleotides) under Pantoea ananatis. RNAcentral describes it as "partial 23S ribosomal RNA". It matches the Rfam family "Bacterial large subunit ribosomal RNA", at positions 231 to 522 of the family's 2925-position model. The record is from RNAcentral. Lineage: Bacteria; Pseudomonadati; Pseudomonadota; Gammaproteobacteria; Enterobacterales; Erwiniaceae.
GAGAUUCCCCCAGUAGCGGCGAGCGAACGGGGAGGAGCCCAGAACCAUCAUCAGCUUGUGCAUCAGUGGAAGCGUCUGGAAAGUCGCAGGGUACAGGGUGAUACUCCCGUACACAAAGGUGCACAGGUUGUGAGUUCGAUGAGUAAGGCGGGACACGUGGUAUCCUGUCUGAAUAUGGGGGGACCAUCCUCCAAGGCUAAAUACUCCUGACUGACCGAUAGUGAACCAGUACCGUGAGGGAAAGGCGAAAAGA